This 4688-nucleotide long non-coding RNA is filed under the name Gossypium barbadense (sea-island cotton). RNAcentral's name for it is "long non-coding RNA (GBAR_LNC011456)". Lineage: Eukaryota; Viridiplantae; Streptophyta; Magnoliopsida; Malvales; Malvaceae. The record is from RNAcentral.
AAAUAUCAUCUUUUCUUCAUCUUCUGUCCACCGAAAAAUGGCAGCAAAGAAAGGGUUUAGAAGCUGGAAACUUUCAGCAAACAAACUCCCUUUAUAGUAAGUGAUUUUAAUGUCUUUACUUAAUGAUUUUUACAUUUUUGGAACCCCUAAAGCAUGAGCUUUCAUAAGAGGGGGUUAUUUUGCAAAAUGAUGAAGAGUCUAGGGUUUUACCAUGAGAUUAAGUGUGUUGUUUUCUGUGUUUUUAUGGAAGAUUAUGAGUCCUAGUUGUCUAAUAAACAACUUUUGUGAAAGAAAUUGCAUGAAAAUACCUUAAAAAGGGCUAAAUUACUAAGUUGUAAAAUGAGUUGUAAAUGUGUAAAAUAGUUGAAAUUAUGAGUUGCUAUAGUUAUGAAAAUGGUUCGUCUAGACUCAAGGAGUAAAGAAAUGUGAUAAAAAUUAAUUUACGAGCAUUGGGGCAAAAGUGCAAAUAUGCAAAAGUUUAGGGGUCAAAAUGGAAAUUUGUAAAAAUAUGAUUUUUAGACCCAUAUCAAUAUUGUGACUGAUUGUUAGGCUAAAUUGAUGUUAUAGAUGAUGAAAAUUGAGAUUUGGACCUAGAACGAAAAGAAAUCGAUUUAUGGACGAGUAUGUCUUUUCACCUUUGUGGUAUCGAGGUAAGUUCGUAUGCAAACAAUACCAUGCUAUACAUGUAUUUAAAUGUUAUCAUUACAUGAAUUGUACAGAUAUUAAUGUGUAUGUGAUUAAUAGAAAUAUGAUAAGACAAAGCCUUAAUAGGCAAGGAAAAAUCCCGUUUGAACCUUAGGAAUAAAUUAGGAUACGAGUGACAUGUCACUAGGAAUUAUGAGUCUAGAUGACUAGCUCGAUAGUGAGCAUUGAAAUGUCAUGAGAUAUGAGAUAGCUUUAGCUACAAUUGAGGCACUUAUGUGCAAAAGCUUUUCCGAGUAUCCAAUUAGUAUUCCAAGUGUUCAACGGGCAAUCCAAGGAAAGAGUUGAUGAUGGUCCCAAUGAGGUAAGUCAUUGGUGAGUAUGCACUCGAGUUAUGUUACGAGUUGUGCAAGUAUGUAUACUAAGCCUAUGAGAAUGCCUUGAUAUGUGAUGAUCUAUGAUGCAUAAUAUGUGUUCUUACCAUGAUGGAUAAAAUGGUGUUGUAUUAAUAUUAUGAACAAUGACCAUGAAUGAGUAACUUAGCCUUGACAGAUUUGAGUUACUGCAGUAGUGUAACUUUGAAAAUACACUAAAAAUAGUGAAAAAUGAAUUAGAGGCAGAAUAAAAUAUGGGAUUAAAUCUUAAUGAGUCUAUUUUCACAUGAAAGAAAUAUAGGAAGAAAAAGAAUUCUAUAUUGUGUGAUAUUUAAAUUCUCGUGAAACAGGGUCUGAAUGAAUUCGAGAUCCCCUGUUUUGAUUUUAUAAAUUCACCGUAAAUUGUAAAAAAAUUAUUAAGAGUCAUACCUUACAUGCAUAGAUUCCUUAUUUAGUUUAUCUUUAAGGGAAACAAACGGCAUGAUCAUUGGAAUUAUGUACAGGGAGAAAUUCGGUUCGUAGUGCAUAGGGGUCAGAGUAGUCAUACCCUAAAAUAGGGGAAACUUUAACUAAUAAACUGUACUAAAUGAAUUGACCAAAAAUUCUAUAAAAAAUUUAUUAAGUAGACAUAUGAGUCUAGUUUCAAGAGAAAUAUACGAGAACAUUAUUUGAGUCCUGUACUAUGAGAUAAUUGAACUUUAGUGCAGAAGGGUUGAAACUGUCAGAUAGUGAAUCAGGAGAAAACUUGAGGAAUAAACUGUACUAAUUGGAUAAGUCAAAAAUUCUGGAAAUUUUAUGGAAGAAAGAUAAAUGAGUCUAGUUUCAGGGAAAAUUAACAGAACUUAAUUUGGAGUUUCGUAGCUCUAGAUAUAAAUAAUUUAGUGACUGCUGCCCAGGAAGACAGCUUGUAGUGAACUUGAGAAUAUGUUGUAAACAUUGAUAAAACAAGUUAAUGAGUUGCUUAUUGUUUUCAUAUGAAAUUACUAAGCGAAAGCUUACCCUCUUCUUUCCCAUGUUUUCUAGAGUUUCCAGGUUAGCUAGGGUUGGAGGCCGUCAGAGAUAUUAUCACACUGUCGAGUUAACACUAUCGGCGUAAGUAAACUCAAGUGAUUCUAGUCUAUGGCAUGUAUAGGGUUUUAAUGUGAGUAUGUAAUAUUAUGAUUUAGCCAAAGGCAUUGGCUUGUUAUUAAGGUAGUAUUGUAAUAUUAUGAUUUAGCGAAAGGCAUGGGCUUGUUAUUAAGGUAGUAUUGUAAUAUUAUGAUUUAGCCAAAGCAUUGGCUUGUUAUUAAGGUAGUAUUAGUCAUGUAAAUUGGCCUAUGUCGGCUAAUAUCGUUAUAGGCCCAUAUGAUUAUUCUUAUGCAUGUAUGUUAUUAUCUCUUGUGAUGUGGCUUACAACAUGUAUGCCUAGAGAUUGAAUUGAGAUUCAUUGAUGAGCUAAUAACUAAUGCAGGAUUAAGUGAUUGGUAAAUAGUUAAUAAUGCUUCAUGAAUGGUUUGUGGAUAUAAUUAUGCAUGCUUUGUGAUGGACAUGAGGUUUGAUGACAUAUUGAUAGCUAUAGCAUUAAUAUGGUAAAGAUGAAAGAAAAAAUUAUUGUAAUGGUUGCAUGUGAAAUUACCAUGGUCAUGUCAUAUUAGGAAGGUUUAAGUGCCUAAUUUUGUCAUGUUGUAUGCUAUUGUAUAAGUAUGCGUGCAUGUGUUGUGAGUGUGACAAAAUGGCUUGGAAAAUAGCCUUGUAUUUGUCCAGGUUUUUGGACAUGGGUUCGGGACACGGGCGUGUGCUCUAUACCUACACGGGCGUGUGGAGCCUUGAUGCAAGAUAUUUCCUAAGUUUUUCAUGAGUUCUCGGUUGAGUCCCGAACCACCCCAAAUGCAUGUAUUGGGCCUCGUAAGCUCGCAUAAGGGACAGAUUACAUGUGACAGCCCUAAAGUGACCUUAUUCGGAAAGCGGUUUCGGGACCGCUAAACCGAGUCACCGAAGUAUUUGAAUGUGAUAUUUAUUGUCUAGAAUAGGUGAAUAUGAAUGUGUGAAAGUUUUAAGCUUCGAUUUAGUAAAUUGCAUGUGAAUUUAGUCAAUAGGACUUAUGUGUGACACUUAUGAAAUGUGAUAGGUUAAUCUAUAAGGAUCUAUUAGUGCAUGUAAUCAAAAAGGAUGGGUUUGCAUGUCAAAUUACCGAAAAUUAGAGCUAGUGGCCGGCCAUGCUAUGGGGUGAAACAUGUUGUAAACAUGUUUUGUUAGUGUGUUAUGUUAGAAAGAAUAAAAUAAAAGGUUAGUAAUAAAAUAAUGAAAAGAGUGGGGUGAUGAAAACAAAGUUGUCUCAUCCAUGCCCCCCCUCCAUUGCCGUGACUAGAGAAAGAGGAGAGAAAAAAAGAGUUCAUUCUUUGGUUCUUCUUGGCCGAAUUGAAAAGAGGAAGAAGGGGAUGAAGCAAUCGGCCAUCUUAGGUCAAUAUUAAGCUCAAGAGCAAAGGGGAACUAAAUCCGAUAAAGGGAAGGAAAAAGUGGUUGAAUAGCCAUCGAAAUCGUUCGACAACAUCCGAGGUAAGUUUUCGAGCAAUGAGACUUAGUUUAUGAUUUGAUUAAUUCAUGAUGUAUGAGCAUAACAAAUAUACGGUGAUAUGAUGAUUCUACUUGAAUUAGAUGAUGAGUUAAUUAGUCUAUACGUAUGAUGGUAGCCGUAUGUGCAUAGAGAUCGUGUCAUAAAGCAAACUAAACCAUGCUGUCUGUAUGUGGCUAGUGAGCCGAAAAUGGGAGUGCUUAAUACGUGACUUGUGUUUGAACUCUAAUUAUGAAAAUGAGAUAUAAAUGUGUCAUGAUUUAUUGAUAUGUGCAUGAAUAUUCGGAUGAUAACCGGGCUAAGUCCCGAAGGCAUUUGCACUAGUGACUAGUUCCGGGCUAAGUCCCGAAGGCAUUUGUGCGAGUUACUAUAUCCGGGUUAAGUCCCGAAGGCAUUUGUGCGAGUUACUAUAUCCGGGCUAAGUCCCGAAGGCAUUUGUGCGAGUUACUACAUCCGGGCUAUGUCCCGAAGGCAUUCGAGCGAGUAGCUAUAUCCGGUUAAAUCCCGAAGGUACCUGGCUUGGGAAUGAGCGAUCUUGCUGUAAUAAUUUCAAUUAAUACGCUCGUAAAAUCCCAACGAUGAGGUAUGUUUCGUAUAUGCAUUGAAUUGGUUGAUUCCUUACAAAUAGUAUUCGCUCAGUCGAUAAAUGAGCUACCGGCCUUUGGCUAAAUUGAUCUUUUGUGUAUGAAUAUAAGGGUCGGUAAUGUGAAGUAAGUAUGAUAUUGAGAAUUUGUGCAUAUGAAAUUAUCCGUUUAGCUAUACGAAUGUUAUACUUUAGUUGUGUCUAAUUUCAUGGCUCAAAACUUACUAAGCAUUAAAUGCUUACUCCGUUUCUUUGAUUAUCUGUUUUAUAGAUUUUGGUUCGUCAGCUAUCGGACUCGGGAUUGUUGAAGUCGAAGUCGUCCACACUAUCAAAGCCCCUUUUGGUACACUUUUGGUUGAACUUUGAAAUGGCAUGUAUAGGACUACCCUUUUUGAUGUUGGUCAUGUACCUUUCGGUAUUGUACAAAUUUGGAUAGCCAUGCGAAAAUGGCUUAUAUAUAUUUUUGAGCAUAAUGUUAUAAUCAUUUUGUAUGUAUAUGGUUAUUGAGAGGUGUGGAUAUGCUUGGCAAUGAUUGGCC